AGAGUUUGAUCCUGGCUCAGGAUGAACGCUAGCUACAGGCUUAACACAUGCAAGUCGAGGGGCAGCAUUUUAGUUUGCUUGCAAACUAAAGAUGGCGACCGGCGCACGGGUGAGUAACACGUAUCCAACCUGCCGAUAACUCGGGUAUAGCCUUUCGAAAGAAAGAUUAAUAUCCGAUAGUAUAUUAAAACCGCAUGGUUUUACUAUUAAAGAAUUUCGGUUAUCGAUGGGGAUGCGUUCCAUUAGUUUGUUGGCGGGGUAACGGCCCACCAAGACUACGAUGGAUAGGGGUUCUGAGAGGAAGGUCCCCCACAUUGGAACUGAGACACGGCCCAAACUCCUACGGGAGGCAGCAGUGAGGAAUAUUGGUCAAUGGACGAGAGUCUGAACCAGCCAAGUAGCGUGAAGGAUGACUGCCCUAUGGGUUGUAAACUUCUUUUAUAUGGGAAUAAAGUAUUCCACGUGUGGGAUUUUGUAUGUACCAUAUGAAUAAGGAUCGGCUAACUCCGUGCCAGCAGCCGCGGUAAUACGGAGGAUCCGAGCGUUAUCCGGAUUUAUUGGGUUUAAAGGGAGCGUAGGUGGAUUGUUAAGUCAGUUGUGAAAGUUUGCGGCUCAACCGUAAAAUUGCAGUUGAAACUGGCAGUCUUGAGUACAGUAGAGGUGGGCGGAAUUCGUGGUGUAGCGGUGAAAUGCUUAGAUAUCACGAAGAACUCCGAUUGCGAAGGCAGCUCACUAGACUGCAACUGACACUGAUGCUCGAAAGUGUGGGUAUCAAACAGGAUUAGAUACCCUGGUAGUCCACACAGUAAACGAUGAAUACUCGCUGUUUGCGAUAUACAGUAAGCGGCCAAGCGAAAGCAUUAAGUAUUCCACCUGGGGAGUACGCCGGCAACGGUGAAACUCAAAGGAAUUGACGGGGGCCCGCACAAGCGGAGGAACAUGUGGUUUAAUUCGAUGAUACGCGAGGAACCUUACCCGGGCUUAAAUUGCAUUUGAAUAAUCUGGAAACAGGUUAGCCGCAAGGCAAAUGUGAAGGUGCUGCAUGGUUGUCGUCAGCUCGUGCCGUGAGGUGUCGGCUUAAGUGCCAUAACGAGCGCAACCCUUAUCUUUAGUUACUAACAGGUCAUGCUGAGGACUCUAGAGAGACUGCCGUCGUAAGAUGUGAGGAAGGUGGGGAUGACGUCAAAUCAGCACGGCCCUUACGUCCGGGGCUACACACGUGUUACAAUGGGGGGUACAGAAGGCAGCUACCUGGCGACAGGAUGCUAAUCCCAAAAACCUCUCUCAGUUCGGAUCGAAGUCUGCAACCCGACUUCGUGAAGCUGGAUUCGCUAGUAAUCGCGCAUCAGCCAUGGCGCGGUGAAUACGUUCCCGGGCCUUGUACUCACCGCCCGUCAAGCCAUGAAAGCCGGGGGUACCUGAAGUACGUAACCGCAAGGAGCGUCCUAGGGUAAAACUGGUAAUUGGGGCUAAGUCGUAACAAGGUA
This 1487-nucleotide ribosomal RNA is filed under the name metagenome. RNAcentral's name for it is "bacterial SSU rRNA". It matches the Rfam family "Bacterial small subunit ribosomal RNA". The record is from RNAcentral.